CGGAUCGAAGUCUGCAACCCGACUUCGUGAAGCUGGAUUCGCUAGUAAUCGCGCAUCAGCCAUGGCGCGGUGAAUACGUUCCCGGGCCUUGUACACACCGCCCGUCAAGCCAUGAAAGCCGGGGGUACCUGAAGUACGUAACCGCAAGGAUCGUCCUAGGGUAAAACUGGUAAUUGGGGCUAAGUCGUAACAAGGUACC
This 199-nucleotide ribosomal RNA is filed under the name uncultured bacterium. Its description in RNAcentral is "partial 16S ribosomal RNA". It matches the Rfam family "Bacterial small subunit ribosomal RNA", at positions 1294 to 1500 of the family's 1533-position model. The record is from RNAcentral.